Molecule: ribosomal RNA, 1496 nt
Filed under: uncultured bacterium
Lineage: Bacteria
Description: 16S ribosomal RNA
Rfam family: Bacterial small subunit ribosomal RNA
Source: RNAcentral
GUUUGAUUCUGGCUCAGGAUGAACGCUGGCGGCAUGCCUAAUACAUGCAAGUCGAACGGAGUGAAGCCUUCGGGUUUCAUUCAGUGGCGAACGGGUGAGUAAUACGCAGGGAACCUGGCCAUGGCAGGGGGAUACACUCUGGAAACGGAGCAUAAGACCCCAUAGGCAGUAAGGCGGCAUCGCCUUACUGUUAAAGAAAGCUGAAAGGCUUUGGCGAUGGAUGGACCUGCGGUGCAUUAGCUUGUUGGUGAGGCAACGGCUUACCAAGGCGAUGAUGCAUAGCCGGCCUGAGAGGGCGGACGGCCACACUGGGACUGAGACACGGCCCAGACUCCUGCGGGAGGCAGCAGUAGGGAAUUUUCGUCAAUGGGCGCAAGCCUGAACGAGCAAUGCCGCGUGAGUGAGGAAGGUCUUCGGACUGUAAAGCUCUGUUGCCGGGGAAAAAGGGGAAAUGCAGGAAAUGGCAUUUCAUGGAUGGUACCCGGCCAGAAAGCCACGGCUAACUACGUGCCAGCAGCCGCGGUAAUACGUAGGUGGCGAGCGUUAUCCGGAAUGAUUGGGCGUAAAGGGUGCGCAGGCGGUCUGUUAAGUCUGAAGGCAAAGGGAUGAGCUCAACUCAUUUAUGAUUCAGAAACUGGCAGACUUGAGGACAGGAGAGGGCGGUGGAACUCCAUGUGUAGCGGUAAAAUGCGCAGAGAUAUGGAAGAACACCAGUGGCGAAGGCGGCCGCCUGGCCUGUGACUGACGCUGAGGCACGAAAGCGUGGGGAGCAAAUAGGAUUAGAUACCCUAGUAGUCCACGCCGUAAACGAUGAGGAGCAGGUGUUGGGAGUGAAAUCUCAGUGCCGAAGCCAACGCAGUGACUCCUCCGCCUGGGGAGUAUGCACGCAAGUGUGAAACUCAGAGGAAUUGACGGGGGCCCGCACAAGCGGUGGAGUAUGUGGUUUAAUUCGAAGCAACGCGAAGAACCUUACCAGGUUUUGACAUCGGAUGCGAAGGUGCAGAGAUGCGCUGGAGGUUAACAUCCAGACAGGUGGUGCAUGGUUGUCGUCAGCUCGUGUCGUGAGAUGUUCAGUUAAGUCUGGCAACGAGCGCAACCCCCGUGGUAUGUUACUAACGCUUAGGGCGAGGACUCAUAUCAGACUGCCGGUGACAAACCGGAGGAAGGCGGGGAUGACGUCAAAUCAUCAUGCCCCUUAUGACCUGGGCUACACACGUACUACAAUGGCGUCUACAGAGGGAAGCGACCCUGAGAAGGGAAGCGAAACCGGAAAAGGGCGUCCCAGUUCGGAUUGAAGUCUGCAACCCGACUUCAUGAAGAUGGAAUCGCUAGUAAUCGCGGAUCAGCAUGCCGCGGUGAAUACGUUCCCGGGCCUUGUACACACCGCCCGUCAAACCAUGGAAGCCGGCAACGCCCGAAGCCGGUGGCAUAACCUUUUAGGAGUGAGCCGUCGGAGGCGGGGCCGAUGACUGGGGUUAAGUCGUAACAAGGUAUCC